UACAGAGGUCUCGAGCGUUGUUCGGAUUCAUUGGGCGUAAAGGGUGCGUAGGUGGUCGUGUAAGUCGGAUGUGAAAUCCCGGGGCUCAACCCCGGAACUGCAUUCGAUACUGCUCGGCUUGAGUACUGGAAAGGAGAUCGGAAUUUACGGUGUAGCAGUGAAAUGCGUAGAUAUCGUAAGGAAGACCAGUGGCGAAGGCGGAUCUCUGGACAGUUACUGACACUGAGGCACGAAGGCCAGGGGAGCAAACGGG
Molecule: ribosomal RNA, 253 nt
Filed under: uncultured bacterium
Lineage: Bacteria
Description: partial 16S ribosomal RNA
Rfam family: Bacterial small subunit ribosomal RNA
Source: RNAcentral